CUGAAAAUGAUAUUUUCAAUUUGCUUGGGAUUGAUGGUCUGCAGAAUGUAUAAUCUUCAGGAGCCUGCUUUUACUUGGAUUACACAUCGGAUAUGUUCAACUCAAGACAGUUUUUAUUGUUUCUUGUGCCUUUCAUGUUUGUACUCAUCAAAUUCUCCGGAAGAAUGAGCAGUGAAUAAAUGCUUGCGGAAUAAAAAAGGAGAGAUUUGAGUCCCUAUCAAUUGCUUAGAUCAUUUGGAUUACACUUUUCAGUUCUGAGAAAGCUACAGUUCAUCUUUCUAGUAUUUUCUAUUGGUAAGAUUAUGCCUCAUGACAAUGGAUAACCAACUAAAUUUGUGCCUCCAUGGUCAUCCCAACAUCUCCAAUGCGUUGGACCAUACCAAUUUUUGUCUCUCUAAGAUGUAAUUUUAGCUUCAUCAGUCCAAAUAUGGAGCAACAGCUUAUGGAAGAUUAGGUUUCAGCCUCCGACUUAUUCAUACAAGCCAAUAAGGGAAACUUGGGAGACAAAAUACUCAUGAAAAAUGAAAAAUUGUUGUUAAUGUACGUCUUUCCUUGUGUGUGCAUGUCUGGAGCAACCAUUUUCCUUGCAAUCAGGAAGGUGAACUUUUUAAUAGGAACAUGCCAGGGUUUCCAUUCCAGUGCAUGUUAGGGUUUGGUGCCUUGGAGAGACAUUACUGUCAUAUUCUGAGACCAGAAUCUGAUAAAGAUGCAAAGAUAUACUUGGCAUGACGAUGGAGGAUUCUCUGUUGGUGUGACAUAAUCUGUGUUCCAGUUCACCACCAAUUAAGGUAUGCGAUAAUGGUUCAAGCUAGCCAUCUGAACCAAAUUAACACCACUUGCUGCAUAGAAUGUGUCGAGUUCCUCCCGCCAAUGGUGGUGUCUUCAAGCUGAGAACUAGGGAUCUUCUUACGAGUUGCUGCGAUCGCAGCAGCAACAAGACACAGAUCUCACUGUAAAGUGAAAUACAUGUGACAUUUCUCAAGUGUGAUCCAGAGUGUCAAUGCUGCUUUCGCGGUUUUGUGUUU
Long non-coding RNA from Rhodamnia argentea, 1025 nucleotides. RefSeq lists it as uncharacterized. NCBI's taxonomy places the organism in Eukaryota, Viridiplantae, Streptophyta, Magnoliopsida, Myrtales, Myrtaceae. The record is from RefSeq and is a predicted model, not a curated record. The transcript is spliced from 2 exons.